GACUCCCAACAGCCGCAACAGCCAGAUGGACCUGCUGCCCGGACUCAAGGACGAGUCGGACUACGUGGGCGACUCGGAGAACAAAGAGUCCCUGGACGGCCACGCCCCCUUCCAGCCCCACCAUGCGGCGCAGACCCCAUGGAGGCUACAGCCCCAUCGUGCAGUGCAGCUUCCGGCCCAAGGAACCCUCGACCGCUGCCCAUGACUUCAUGGAAGCGGCAGCCUCACCGUGCGGCACAGACCCCAUGGAGGCUACAGCCCCAUCGUGCAGUGCAGCCUCCAGCUUCCGGUCCAAAGAACCCUCAACUGCUGCUCAUUACUCCAUGGAAGCGGCAGCCUCACCGUGCGGCGCAGAC
Long non-coding RNA from Ixodes scapularis (black-legged tick), 356 nucleotides. RefSeq lists it as uncharacterized. The transcript has 4 exons. NCBI's taxonomy places the organism in Eukaryota, Metazoa, Arthropoda, Arachnida, Ixodida, Ixodidae. The record is from RefSeq and is a predicted model, not a curated record.